CGAUCUUCAGUCUUCACCCUAUAAUUUUUUCGUGACUUUAGUCGUAUGAGCAACACUUGUUCUUCGCUCUCGAGUCCGGCGGUCGGUCUAUGCCCUUCCCACCGUCGCACUGUAGAGCUCGUCCCCCCUCUCCCAAUAUCUUUCACUUUCUGCUUGGUGAGAGGCGGCGGAAUGGCUAGAUCCGGCCGCCACCUCCGGUUCGGCGGGGAGAAGGCGGCGGACUUGAUCCGGAGAUGCGGCGAAGGAGGUAUCAUCUACGGUUGCAUUUUCCUCUACAUUUCCGUGUCCAGUGGCCAGAUCUUCUUCAACAAGUGAGAUCAACUUCCCAUAUCCUGUUGCAUUAACUUUCCUGCACAUGCUGUUCUCUUCAGUAUUGUGCUUUCUACUCACCCAAGUUUUCAAGAUUUUAACGAUUGAAGGGGGGGAUGACUUCAGACAUGGCAAUUCACCCCGCUUGUCGGCCGCUAGGGAACAACAAUUGACAUCAGAGUAAGGUUCGGUUCAGAAGGACUAGCCGUCGACCAAAGCACAAGAGAUGAUCGGACCGAGCAUCUAUCCACCGAAAUUCGAGGGGGAAUUCGCGAACUGGAAGAAAAAGAUAGAGAUAUAUCACAUCAGUCAUUCCAAUUGGUGCCAUGUUUGCAAUGACUCUUUGGCUCGGAAAUAUUGCCUACCUCUAUAUAUCAGUUGCAUUUGCUCAAAUGCUGAAAGCACUAUGCCUGUUGCUGUGUUUUUCCUUGGAGCUGCAGCAGGCCUUGAAGCAAUGAGUUGCAAAAUGUUCACGAUCAUGUUGGCAAUCAGCAUUGGUGUAGUUGUAGCCUCAUAUGGGGAGAUCAGCAUUAGCUGGGUUGGAGUGGUUUACAGGAUGGGUGGUGUUGUUGGUGAGGCCUCCAGACUAAUCUUCAUGGAAAUAUUUGUGAAGAAAAAGGGUGUGCGACUGAACCCAAUAUCAAUGAUGUAGUAUGUCAGUCCUUGCAGAUUUGUUAGAUCUGGAUACAAGAACUAGACUCUAUUCCAUUAUUAUCGCCAACUCUGGGAAGACUUACUCAACAUUUAUUAGAUGAAAGAGAAACUUUUGUUCUAGCCACUUUUGAUAGCUCUCCACCAGAAUGGUUGUCUACACAAAUAGAACAGCUAGACACUUGAUUAAACUUGAUGUUCAAGGCCUCAACAUUCAGUUAACAGCUUUUGAAGAUUACCCUUCUCAUCCAGACAGAGAAUGACUUUCAUCAAAGAUCUUAGUAAUCUUUCCUUCGGAAAAAUUGUUCCUAAGAUACCACCAGUUACUUCUAAAUUUUUAACAUAUAAACCCAAUGAGUCUGACAAAAAUUGAACCUUUUUCUGAUAUUUCUAGAUCUGUUAGAUCUGGAUACAAGAACUAGACUCUAUUCCAUUAUUAUCGUCAACUCUGGGAAGACUUACUCAACAUUUAUUAGAAGAAAGAGAAACUUUUGUUCUAGCCAAUUUUGAUAGCUCUCCACCAGAAUGGUUGUCUACACAAACAGAAUCAGCUAGACACUUGAUUAAACUUGAUGUUCAAGGCCUCAACAUUCAGUUAACAGCUUUUGAAGAUUACCUUUCUCAUCCAGACAGAGAAUGACUUUCAUCAAAAUCACUGUCUGAACAACUCAAACACUGGAGAGCUUCUCUUUAAGGGAGUUCUUGGUUAUGGGAUCCAUAUUUGAAUGUUUGUCACAGUACUUUGUGCCUUUUUGUUCCUUGGAUUUUAUUGGAGAAACCAAAGAUGGAUUCAAGCGGACCCUGGAACUUCCCACUGAUCACAUUGGCCCUCAAUUGUCUUUGUACAUUCACACUCAACCUGUGUUUUCCUCGUGAUUUCUCGUUCAAGUGCGCUGACGAUCCGUGUAGCUGGAGUCAUCAGGGACUGGGUUGUAGUUUUGCUUUCAGCUUUGCUAUUUUCAGAUUCAAAGUUGACAAUCAUCAACCUAAUUGGUUAUGGUGUAGCUCUUGCAGGCGUUGUGGCAUACAACAACCACAAGUUGGAAAAAGAGGUAUCCCAAGGAAAACCCAUAGUCAAUAAUUUUGAUGCCCAUGGAAGCACGCAAGAUGUCGAAGACCGGGUAUCUUUGGUUCCGCUAUGAGAGAGUUCUUGAGAGAGGUAAGAUUCACAUUUUGUGACUGCUUAACUUUUCAUACCACUCUCCUAAAGAAGGAACCAACUUUGUCUGUAAAACAUGAACAAAAAAAGAUGUAUAGAAAGGCAUUGAAAUUUCAUCAUUAAGAGCAGCUUCUUUCC
This is an RNA transcript of Zingiber officinale, 2257 nucleotides long. It is a transcript of the gene named probable sugar phosphate/phosphate translocator At3g14410, with no coding region annotated. The record is from RefSeq and is a predicted model, not a curated record. The transcript has 8 exons. NCBI's taxonomy places the organism in Eukaryota, Viridiplantae, Streptophyta, Magnoliopsida, Zingiberales, Zingiberaceae.